This is a long non-coding RNA of Nerophis lumbriciformis (worm pipefish), 1306 nucleotides long. RefSeq lists it as uncharacterized. NCBI's taxonomy places the organism in Eukaryota, Metazoa, Chordata, Actinopteri, Syngnathiformes, Syngnathidae. The record is from RefSeq and is a predicted model, not a curated record.
CCCUUCUUGAGACAUCAACAAGGAAAAGUAGCUUCCAUAUGAGGAGGUGUGAACAAGUUAGGACAUAAAUCAUGGUCCCAAUACGGAGAACCAUUGCAUCUAAUAGAGAGCCAAAUACUAGAGUCUGUGAACAUUGCUCCAAAGUCAGGAUUUUUUUGGCUGAUUUAAUAUGCAUACAAAAGUAAACAUUGACAGUCGUUGCCACAUUUUUCGGAGGUCUCAAGAAGGUAACAGAUAUAAGGGUGUGUGUGUGUGUGUGUGUGUGUGUGUGUGUGUGUGUGUGUGUGUGUGUGUGUGUGUUCUUGUAUUUCUACCCUUCUUGAGACGUCAACAAGGAAAAGUACCGUCUAUAUGAGGAGGUGUGAACAAGUUAGGACAUAAAUCAUGGUCCCAAUACAAAAAACCAUUGCAUCUAAUAGAGAGCCAAAUACUAGAGUCCGUGAACAUUGCUCCAAAGUCAGGAUUUUUUUUGGCUGAUUUAAUGUGCAUACAAAAGUAAACAUUGACAGUAGUCGCCGCAUUUUUCGGAGGUCUCAAGAAGGUAACAGAUAUAAGGGUGUGUGUGUGUGCGUGUGUGUGUGUGUGUGUGUGUGUGUGUGUGUGUGUGUGUGUGUGUGUGUGUGUGUGUGUGUGUUCUUGUAUUUCUACCCUUAUUGAGACAUCAACAAGGAAAAGUACUGUCCAUAAGGACAUAAAUCAUGGUCCCAAUACGGAAAACCAUUGCAUCUAAUAGAGAGCCAAAUACUAGAGUCCGUGAACAUUGCUCCAAAGUCAGGAUUUUUUUGGCUGAUUUAAUGUGCAUACAAAAGUAAACAUUGACAGUAGUUGCCACAUUUUUGGAGGUCUCAAGAAGGUAACAGAUAUAACAGUGUGUGUGUGUGUGUGUGUGUGUGUGUGUGUGUGUGUGUGUGUGUGUGUGUGUGUGUGUGUGUGUGUGUGUGUGUGUGUGUGUGUGUGUGUGUGUGUGUGUGUAUGUGUUCUUGUAUUUCUACCCUUCUUGAGACAUGAUGAAGGGAAAGUAUCUUCCAUAUGAGGUGUGAACAAGUUAGGACAUAAAUCAUGGUCCCAAUAACAUUGCAUCUAAUAGAGAGCCAAAUACUAGAGUCCGUGAACAUUGCUCCAAAGUCAGGAUUUUUUUUCUGAUUUAAUGUGCAUACAAAAGUAAACAUUGACAGUAGUUGCCACAUUUUUGGAGGUCUCAAGAAGGUAACAGAUAUAACAGUGUGUGUGUGUGUGUGUGUGUGUGUGUGUGUGUGUGUGUGUGUGUGUGUGUGUGUGUGUGUGUGUGUGUGUGUGUGUGUGUGUG